This 292-nucleotide ribosomal RNA is filed under the name uncultured bacterium. RNAcentral's name for it is "partial 16S ribosomal RNA". It matches the Rfam family "Bacterial small subunit ribosomal RNA", at positions 505 to 796 of the family's 1533-position model. The record is from RNAcentral.
GUGCCAGCAGCCGCGGUAAUACGUAGGGUCCAAGCGUUGUCCGGAUUUACUGGGUAUAAAGGGUGCGCAGGCGGAUCUGUGCGUCGGAGGUUAAAGACCCGGGCUCAACCCGGGAAGUGCCUUCGAUACGGCAGGUCUUGAGUGUGAGAGAGGAUAGUAGAAUUCCUGGUGUAGCGGUGAAAUGCGUAGAUAUCAGGAGGAAUACCAGUGGCGAAGGCGGCUAUCUGGCUCAUAACUGACGCUUAGGCACGAAAGCGUGGGGAUCAAACAGGAUUAGAUACCCGGGUAGUCC